Long non-coding RNA from Mus musculus (house mouse), 391 nucleotides. RefSeq annotates it as predicted gene, 46880. The transcript has 4 exons. The record is from RefSeq and is a predicted model, not a curated record. Lineage: Eukaryota; Metazoa; Chordata; Mammalia; Rodentia; Muridae.
GGAAGUAAUACUGUAUUGGAGAAGAUACUACAUACUUCAGGCACAAAACUUGGAAGGAUUGAGCUGGACUUGAAAGUGACUUGGAAACCUCCCUGAGAAUUAGCUCUGUUACUGUCAGAAGAUACUAUGGAAGCUGCAAACAGAGGAAAGCAAUCAGUAGUCCCAUCCAGCUGUAAUAUCUGUGAACCACAACUAGCCUGGUGCUUCUACUUUGGGGCAGGAACAGCUGCUGGACAUCUGGAUAUCCUGUUGAUUCUAACUGUUCCCUGGGAUAAAGAAAAUUACCCACUGACCCCUGUCCUGGAGUCCAACUGUCCCACAAUACCAAACAUGGUCUGGAAUGCUACUGAUUAAGGCUGCUAUAACACAUUACCACACACUGGAUGGCUUA